AGAUGUUGCAUAAUUUAUCCAAUCAGACAGUAAGUUAAUGGUUAAAUAAGUGAUAUAAAUCUCUAUUAACAGAAAUGAUGCUUACAAGGGAUUUUAAUAGUGCUAUAUGCACUGUUGAGUAAAAAGAUACAGGACUACUUAUACAGUAUGAUCAUUUUUAAAAAAGCUUUCAAUGCAUAUUUCACACGCCUUGAUCUCUGUGAGCAUGAUGAAUGCCACAGUAAAGGUGGCUGAACUGGACUCUGGUCACUGCAGGACUCAUGUUGAUCUCAGUGCAGUUUUCACCACACGUGGGACCUAAGCUACAUCUGGAGGGGCGUUGGCUAACUUUAGUGCCUGCCUCUCUGUCUGCCGUCUCCCCUUUUUCAUUUU
This 372-nucleotide long non-coding RNA is filed under the name Bos taurus (domestic cattle). Its description in RNAcentral is "long non-coding RNA NONBTAT004232". The record is from RNAcentral. Lineage: Eukaryota; Metazoa; Chordata; Mammalia; Artiodactyla; Bovidae.